UAGCAUUCCCUUCUGUGUGUGAAAGGAAGACGUGGCUCAGGACAGUGCCCAGGUUUGCUCAGCACGAGGCAUUGCAAUGCAAACAGGGCUCAGCCUUCCAGCACCCUCACUGCUCCAAUCUCCUGGGUGGGCAGCUUUGAGGAGCUCAGGAAUGUACAUUAACACACAAAGCCACCGUGGCUCCUGCAGAAAUGCCUGAAAGGCAAUGAAAGAAAUGCCCCGAGCCGGGACUCUGCUCGGCUGCGGGAAGCGGAGCGCGGAGCGCGGCGUGGCCGUGGCUCAGGGCGGGGAGCGCAGGGCAGCCGGAGCUUCACCUGUGUGGGGAGAGGAAGGCAGGGCAGCCGGGGUUAUGUAAGCAAAUUCCCGGCUGGAAUGUGCAGAAUGUACACAGAGGGUGUGCCGGGCAGGGAGCUGGGGGCCAGGGAAAAGCCUCGCAGCCCAUGGGCAACAGGUUCCCUGGCAAGCAAGAGGCGUUCCCAAAAUACAGCUCGUGUUCUCUGCUCUGGCGGACCUCGCACUCAGAGACACAAAAGUCAUCAGAUGCAGUGAACUAUUUAAUGAUACUAAGAUAAUCGUGAAUAAAUCAGUCGACAUUUCUUCAGUGGCCUCAUCUCCUUCCUGAAAGGCAAGACUUCUGCAAUUGUUGGCAAAAAUAGUGCAGGCAAGAUAUACAAUCAAAGGUGGCACUUGAAGGAACCAAACCCAACUGGUAAAGGUAUUGAAACAGUGUCCUCUUCAGGAGCAGGAUGUUGGGUGGACUCACCAAGCAGCUCUGUACUAAGAAAUUGAGAAGAGAAGCAUUACCAGGAACUGGACACAGACAUGCAGGUUCACAGGUUUCUCUGAAGCCCUCUCACACCAGCUCUGGGCAGAACACGGUGUAGGAUUGGACACUAAGUGCUUAAAUCCUGCCAUGAGAGUAAACACAAGAGGGGGCAAGGGGCUGCACAGGCACCUGGUCAGGGCAAGAAGAAAAGGUGGUUUCUCAUUUAAGAAGACACUGUAUUCAGCUUAAUGGAAUGGUUUUCCAGCCUCUGAGUGUUCUCCCUUCACAGAAAAAUUAAUCUCAAAGUAGUAACUGCAGCAAACCCAGCAGUGGAAAGAGCAAAUGGCCAAAGCUAAGAGUAGGCAAUGGUUUUGAACUUGCAUCCAGUUGGGGAAGAGAAACGGAAUUCAACUCUGCCAGCAAACUCACGACUUGGUAAAGGCUUUGUUGAAAAUCUUGCAGAGAAAUGAUUGACCACAAAAUUAUGUAUCAUGUUAAAACCAACAGUAACAACCACUAAUAGCCCGUUCUGAAGGGCCUAUAAUACUAAAAUAAUAAUGAUAAUUUUAAAAUGUAAGUAAAUCUGGGCAAUUGUAUGCACACACAAUGGAAAAGACUAUUUUCCUAUGAUAUUCAUCUCAAGAGGCAACAUCAACAUUUUCACUCACUGGCUUCAGGAACCACAUCAGGAAAUCAAACAAAUAUUAUCCUAUUUGUGCAGAGAACGUCUUUCUUCUUGUAACAAGCAAACAAAAAUUAUUUUCUUAAUAAACAUUCAACAGACAAAAGCACUACUGAGAAAGAUCAUAAGAGUAAGAAAAAAACCUGUGAUAUU
Molecule: long non-coding RNA, 1601 nt
Organism: Parus major (Great Tit)
Lineage: Eukaryota; Metazoa; Chordata; Aves; Passeriformes; Paridae
Exons: 5
Source: RefSeq, a predicted model, not a curated record